This is a non-coding RNA of Desmophyllum pertusum, 75 nucleotides long. The record is from the annotation of a GenBank genome assembly. NCBI's taxonomy places the organism in Eukaryota, Metazoa, Cnidaria, Anthozoa, Scleractinia, Caryophylliidae.
GACGUGGUGGCCUAAUGGUUACCGCGCUGCACUCCAGAUUGAGCGGUCCAGGUUCGAGCCCUGGCCGGGGUGACU